UUUGCAGAUGAUGUGGUUUUAUACCCCCAGAGGUAUGAAGAUAGAGUACCUACGCAUUGCAUUCAUAUGCAUUCAUUGAAGUGAUAUUUGCAGAUGAUGUGGUUUUAUACCCCCAGAGGUAUGAAGAUAGAGUACCUACACAUUGCAUUCCUAUGCAUACAUUGAAGUGAUAUUUGCAGGUAUUGUUGACGCAGGGAAGUGUUAUAGAACCUAUUGUGGUUGUUCGAGGAAAUGAGAUGGUAUUGGUUAUAGUGGGACUACUGUGUUCUAUAUCUACAAGUAUUUCUGAUUUUUUUAUUGUGUCUCUUUUAAAAUGUUGAUGAAUUCAAUUUGUGGUUUAAAUAUCUCGUCAGAACAAUUAGCUUGCUGAGAUGUUUCAUCUCACUCUUGCAUUACUCAAUGCAGGUGCUUGUUGCUCAUCAAGGGGAGUGGGAAGUAGCAGCACAUCCACCUUCACUCUCAUAAUAAUGCUGCCCAGACACAACCAUGAUUUAAUUAGAAACUUCUUGUCAAAGGAUGUUUGUUUUUAACUAGUCGUGUGCUCUGAUUAAUUCAGUUCAUUGUUGUUAUGGUUGUCUUCCCAUUGCUAGCAGAUUAUUAAUGUCUUAUAUGUUUUCUUAUCAUGAUAUCUAUUUAUACUUUGUUGCUUCCCCCGUUUAUGCAAUUUUCAAAGGAGAUGCUGUCGAAAUUUUAUAUAUGAAUGUUAGAUGUGUAGUUUAGUAGCAUUCUGGGGUGUUUGUGGAUCCCGGGGUGUUACAGUUGGUAUCAAAGGAUAGGCUUUAGAUUCUUGGCAAUUUGAAGAUAAAUUUGACACACUUGCACAUAUAGGAAGGGUAUGGGUUCAAAUAUCUUUGAUAUAUAUUAAUGUCUUUGGAGUGCAGAUGACAAUAGUUUCACCCCUCCCUAUUCCUUUACGGUGAUGUGGUAAGUUGUUUAUGGCUUAAUGCUUGAUAUAAUUUAUUUCUGAAAUUUUGAUAUUGUUUUAUUAAUGCGGUAGAUAUCGCUGGUCAUUGGUGAGAAUGAAGUUGUUAUUAUGUUUGUGAUAUACAAGUAUGCCUAUGUCGUUUUCACCAUGUUUUUCAUGGUUGAGUUUUAUUACAAUAAUAUUGUUAUAUAUGCUUGAUUGUGGAUGUUUCUAAGAGGAGUGUGAAUUGCGUGUUUUGGGGUACAAGGUAAUCAUCAAUUUGAAUUUAAGUUGUUGAGCGGUUGGUGGAUAGCUCCAACUAUCAUUGCAAAGAAUGAUUGUUUAUGUUGAGAAACCAGUUUUGAAAGAAAUGAAUAUUGGUACUUUAUAUGGAUUUUUGGGGGAAGUCUUUUCAUAGCCAGAAUGGCUUACAUGUCUCUCUCAUAUUGUGUGUUCUAGUUGCCACAAAGCCUAGAUGUGGUUUAAAGUGGUUGCCUAUUAGUCAUACUAAUUGUAGAAUAAAUCUUUGAUUCUCUUGAUCCAUUGAUUAUGUAUUGAUACAUUGAGGAUCUGAUGGUUCCCUUUUCGAUGCAUGCUUGUGGAGCCAUUUUUUUAGACCACCUAUCUAUUGGUUUGAAGGAAGUCCUUGCCUAGCCUAGAGUUGGUUGGGUGUGGCUAGUCACCUACUCCUAGAUGAUGUGGUGUUUACAUCAGCUUAAUAUGUUUGUCAAAUGUGUGAAGGAUUAGGGGUUAUUAUUAUUGACUUUGUAUGUCUGGUACUUUGAGUGCAUCGUAUGAUAGAAUGAAAUGUAAGUUUCUGAACUACAGUAGAUGAAGACUUAUAUUAUGUGUAGGUUAUCCUUACUAGUUGGAUAUUUUUCUUAGUUGAGAUGUUGAAUGAAGUAUAGUGACAUGGGUUAAGCAAGUAUUGUGUUGUUGUUGGGCUAUCAGUGCUCUAUGUAGAGUUUUUGGCAUUUCUUCGAUGAACUAUGCCGCACAAGAUGUUAUUGGCUUCUUUUGGCUUUAUUGCUCCAUUAGUUCUAUAGAUUUUCUCCCUUUUGGUGGGGUGUAAGGAAUGUUAGAUUACAUGAUUAUCUUUUCAUGAUGGCAAGAAUAAGGUUUAGAAAGAUUAGGAGUUUUGUUCCAAUAGAACUACUUGUUUCAUGGUGCUUUAAGGUGAGGUGUUUGAUCUUCUUAUACAUUCGUCGGGUGUAGAUGUUUCACCAUUUAAUUAAAAUUAAUGGUUGAAGUUGGUAAGGGUUGUGCUUGGUCCAUAUUACCCCUUCAUAAAAGAGUGUUGUCUUAAGACAUUGAUGUUGAUGUAUAGCUGCAUCCAAAUUUGAUGGUGUGAAAUUGUAGUGUUGAUUGCAACUAUGACAUGCUUUGAGCUUCAUUACAUGUUGUUUCAUGCUUGAUGUCAGGUCGUGUAGUUUCCUUAGACAAUUAGUCCAAGGUAGAAGUUCUUGUGUUAAUUAAGACCAAUAAUGGAUCCAUGUUUUGAAUUGUGGUGCUAUAUGGGGUACCUUGGGUGUUUUGCUUGGAGUGGCCGAAUUCGAGGUCGAAUUCUUUUUAAGGGGGGUAGAAUGUAAUAUCCCAAAAAAAUGUUGACCAAAAGUUAAUCUCUGGUGCGUGGAUGAGGUAAAGGGUUGUGGGCCAUUGGAUGCAAAGAUAGAAGUCAUCUGAGGCGUCGUUUCUUUCUCCCACAAAAACCCUAGGUGGCCACCCCUUUUUUUCCCUUCACCCCCCCUCUUGGCCGCCACCCCCUUUUCUCCCCCUUGGCUGGACGCCCCCUCCCCCUAUGGCAGCCAUCAUCCAUUGCUUCCUCCCCCAAGAUCUCCCCCUACGCAGCAAGGAUCGAGAAAAGGAGGGGCACGUUGAAUUGAAGAGGAAGAGAGGAUCAAGGAGAUGUUCUUCCCCAUCUCUUCUUGAAGAUUUCUUGGGGAAACCCUAGGUGGCUACACUCCAGAUCAUGUCUAGUACAUUUCUUCUUCUUCGAUGAAGGCAAGUGAAUGUAGCGGUGGUUGCUUCCGUUCUGACCUGUUAUUUCUAUUGCCUACACUCUAAUAUUCAGAAGUAUCAGAUUCUUUCAUAAUUGGACUCUAUGGUGAUGCUUUACUUGCUUGCAUUAUACUGAUGCUCAAUCAUAUAUUGAUGAUGAUUAUGAUUUGAGUAUGACUCACGAGAUUAAUUCACAUAUCUGAAGGUAAAUGAAGUAUUAUUUGAGGUUGGUAUUGUAUCUGAAGAUAAAUGAAGUAUUAUUUGAGGUUUGUGUUGUAUCUGAAGGAAGUGAAGUUUAUUGAUAAAUGUAGCAUGCCAUAUACAUUGCAUGACUCAUUUGCAUAUGAAGUUUUGUCGUGACCUAUGGUCCGACCGUACCGGUACAACUUAGCAUCGUACGUUGCCCGAGAAGGGGUAUGAUGCGGCUUCAUACCCUUAGAGGUAUGAAGGCAGAGGACAUAAGCAUUGCAUUCAUAUGCAUUCAUUGAAGUGAUAUUUGCAGAUGAUGUGGUUUUAUACCCCCAGAGGUAUGAAGAUAGAGUACCUACGCAUUGCAUUCAUAUGCAUUCAUUGAAGUGAUAUUUGCAGAUGAUGUGGUUUUAUACCCCCAGAGGUAUGAAGAUAGAGUACCUACACAUUGCAUUCCUAUGCAUACAUUGAAGUGAUAUUUGCAGGUAUUGUUGACGCAGGGAAGUGUUAUAGAACCUAUUGUGGUUGUUCGAGGAAAUGAGAUGGUAUUGGUUAUAGUGGGACUACUGUGUUCUAUAUCUACAAGUAUUUCUGAUUUUUUUAUUGUGUCUCUUUUAAAAUGUUGAUGAAUUCAAUUUGUGGUUUAAAUAUCUCGUCAGAACAAUUAGCUUGCUGAGAUGUUUCAUCUCACUCUUGCAUUACUCAAUGCAGGUGCUUGUUGCUCAUCAAGGGGAGUGGGAAGUAGCAGCACAUCCACCUUCACUCUCAUAAUAAUGCUGCCCAGACACAGCCAUGAUUUAAUUAGAAACUUCUUGUCAAAGGAUGUUUGUUUUUAACUAGUCGUGCGCUCUGAUUAAUUCAGUUCAUUGUUGUUAUGGUUGUCUUCACAUUGCUAGCAGAUUAUUAAUGUCUUAUAUGUUUUCUUAUCA
RNAcentral lists this long non-coding RNA (4020 nucleotides) under Zea mays. Its description in RNAcentral is "long non-coding RNA (ZMAY_LNC002705)". The record is from RNAcentral. Lineage: Eukaryota; Viridiplantae; Streptophyta; Magnoliopsida; Poales; Poaceae.